Molecule: ribosomal RNA, 484 nt
Filed under: uncultured bacterium
Lineage: Bacteria
Description: partial 16S ribosomal RNA
Rfam family: Bacterial small subunit ribosomal RNA
Source: RNAcentral
AUUGAACGCUGGCGGCAGGCCUAACACAUGCAAGUCGAGCGGAUGAAGGGAGCUUGCUCCUGGAUUCAGCGGCGGACGGGUGAGUAAUGCCUAGGAAUCUGCCUGGUAGUGGGGGAUGACGUCCGGAAACGGGCGCUAAUACCGCAUACGUCCUGAGGGAGAAAGUGGGGGAUCUUCGGAUCUCACGCUUUCAGAUGAGCCUAGGUCGGAUUAGCUAGUUGGUGGGGUAAAGGCCUACCAAGGCGACGAUCCGUAACUGGUCUGAGAGGAUGAUCAGUCACACUGGAACUGAGAAACGGUCCAGACUCCGACGGGAGGCAGCAGUGGGGAAUAUUGGACAAUGGGCGAAAGCCUGAUCCAGCAAUGCCGCGUGUGUGAAGAAGGUCUUCGGAUUGGAAAGCACUUUAAGUUGGGAGGAAGGGCAGUAAGUUAAUACCUUGCUGUUUUGACGUUACCAACAGAAUAAGCACCGGCUAACUUCGUG